AUUGAACGCUGGCGGCAUGCCUUACACAUGCAAGUCGAACGGCAGCACGGGAGCAAUCCUGGUGGCGAGUGGCGAACGGGUGAGUAAUAUAUCGGAACGUGCCCAGUCGUGGGGAUAACGUAGCGAAAGCUACGCUAAUACCGCAUACGAUCUAUGGAUGAAAGCGGGGGAUCGCAAGACCUCGCGCGAUUGGAGCGGCCGAUAUCAGAUUAGGUAGUUGGUGAGGUAAAGGCUCACCAAGCCGACGAUCUGUAGCUGGUCUGAGAGGACGACCAGCCACACUGGGACUGAGACACGGCCCAGACUCCUACGGAGGCAGCAGUGGGAAUUUUGGACAAUGGGCGCAAGCCUGAUCCAGCAAUGCCGCGUGCAGGAUGAAGGCCUCGGUUGUAACUAGCUUUGUUACGGUAACGAAAGGUUACUAUAAUACUAGAGACUC
Molecule: ribosomal RNA, 439 nt
Filed under: uncultured bacterium
Lineage: Bacteria
Description: bacterial SSU rRNA
Rfam family: Bacterial small subunit ribosomal RNA
Source: RNAcentral